GCUCGGCUAGCUCAGUUGGUUAGAGCGUCGUACUAAUAAUGCGAAGGUCCUCAGUUCAAUCCUGUGGCUGAGCA
RNAcentral lists this transfer RNA (74 nucleotides) under Pestalotiopsis fici W106-1. Its description in RNAcentral is "tRNA-Ile (AAT) (tRNA-Ile-AAT-1 1 to 8)". It matches the Rfam family "tRNA". From Rfam's summary of the family: Transfer RNA (tRNA) molecules are approximately 80 nucleotides in length. Their secondary structure includes four short double-helical elements and three loops (D, anti-codon, and T loops). Lineage: Eukaryota; Fungi; Ascomycota; Sordariomycetes; Amphisphaeriales; Sporocadaceae. The record is from RNAcentral.